AGAGUUUGAUCCUGGCUCAGGAUGAACGCUGGCGGCGUGCUUAACACAUGCAAGUCGAGCGGAGAAAUAGAAAGGAAUCCCUUCGGGGAGAAAUUCCUAUUUCUUAGCGGCGGACGGGUGCGUAACACGUGGGUAACCUGCCCUUAUCACCGGAAUAACACACUGAAAAGUGUGCUAAUACCGGAUAACAUCAUCUUAUGGCAUCAUAGGAUGAUCAAAGCGUUAGCGGAUAAGGAUGGGCCCGCGUCUGAUUAGCUAGUUGGUAGGGUAACGGCCUACCAAGGCAACGAUUAGUAGCCGACCUGAGAGGGUGAUCGGCCACACUGGAACUGAGACACGGUCCAGACUCCUACGGGAGGCAGCAGUGGGGAAUAUUGCACAAUGGGCGAAAGCCUGAUGCAGCAACGCCGCGUGAGCGAUGAAGGCCUUCGGGUCGUAAAGCUCUGUCCUAUGGGAAGAUAAUGACGGUACCAUAGGAGGAAGCCCCGGCUAACUACGUGCCAGCAGCCGCGGUAAUACGUAGGGGGCAAGCGUUAUCCGGAAUCACUGGGCGUAAAGCGCGCGUAGGUGGUCUAGUAAGUCAGAUGUUAAAAUGCGGGGCUCAACCCCGUAAUGCAUUUGAAACUGCUGGACUUGAGGACAGGAGAGGAAAGUGGAAUUCCUAGUGUAGCGGUGAAAUGCGUAGAUAUUAGGAGGAACACCAGUGGCGAAGGCGACUUUCUGGACUGUACCUGACACUGAGGUGCGAAAGCGUGGGGAGCAAACAGGAUUAGAUACCCUGGUAGUCCACGCCGUAAACGAUGGGUACUAGGUGUAGGGGGUUUAGAUACCUUCUGUGCCGCAGUUAACGCAUUAAGUACCCCGCCUGGGGAGUACGAUCGCAAGAUUGAAACUCAAAGGAAUUGACGGGGGCCCGCACAAGCAGCGGAGCAUGUGGUUUAAUUCGAAGCAACGCGAAGAACCUUACCAGGACUUGACAUCCUCUGAAGCUAUUAGAGAUAAUAGUGUCCCUUCGGGGCAGAGAGACAGGUGGUGCAUGGUUGUCGUCAGCUCGUGUCGUGAGAUGUUGGGUUAAGUCCCGCAACGAGCGCAACCCUUAUCCUUAGUUGCCAGCAAGUAAUGUUGGGCACUCUAGGGAGACUGCCGGUGAUAAACCGGAGGAAGGUGGGGAUGACGUCAAAUCAUCAUGCCCCUUAUGUCCUGGGCUACACACGUGCUACAAUGGCCUGAACAACGGGAAGCUAAGGAGUGAUCUGGAGCAAAUCCCUAAAAACAGGUCUCAGUUCGGAUUGUAGGCUGCAACUCGCCUACAUGAAGUCGGAGUUGCUAGUAAUCGUGGAUCAGAAUGUCACGGUGAAUGCGUUCCCGGGCCUUGUACACACCGCCCGUCACACCACGAAAGUUUACAACACCCGAAGCCGGUGGGCUAACCGCAAGGAGGCAGCCGUCGAAGGUGGGUAGAUGAUUGGGGUUAAGUCGUAACAAGGUAACC
RNAcentral lists this ribosomal RNA (1492 nucleotides) under uncultured bacterium. RNAcentral's name for it is "bacterial SSU rRNA". It matches the Rfam family "Bacterial small subunit ribosomal RNA". The record is from RNAcentral.